GACGAACGCUGGCGGCGUGCUUAACACAUGCAAGUCGAACGGAAAGGCCCUGCUUUUGUGGGGUGCUCGAGUGGCGAACGGGUGAGUAACACGUGAGUAACCUGCCCUUGACUUUGGGAUAACUUCAGGAAACUGGAGCUAAUACCGGAUAGGAGCUCCUGCUGCAUGGUGGGGGUUCGAAAGUUUCGGCGGUUGGGGAUGGACUCGCGGCUUAUCAGCUUGUUGGUGGGGUAGUGGCUUACCAAGGCUUUGACGGGUAGCCGGCCUGAGAGGGUGACCGGCCACAUUGGGACUGAGAUACGGCCCAGAGGCCUACGGGAGGCAGCAGUGGGGAAUAUUGCACAAUGGGCGGAAGCCUGAUGCAGCAACGCCGCGUGCGGGAUGACGGCCUUCGGGUUGUAAACCGCUUUCGCCUGUGACGAAGCGUGAGUGACGGUAAUGGGUAAAGAAGCACCGGCUAACUACGUG
This 468-nucleotide ribosomal RNA is filed under the name uncultured bacterium. RNAcentral's name for it is "partial 16S ribosomal RNA". It matches the Rfam family "Bacterial small subunit ribosomal RNA", at positions 28 to 507 of the family's 1533-position model. The record is from RNAcentral.